UGAGGAAUCUUGGACAAUGGGGGAAACCCUGAUCCAGCCAUGCCGCGUGAGCGAUGAAGGCCCUAGGGUUGUAAAGCUCUUUUACCCGUGAAGAUUAUGACGGUAGCGGGAGAAAAAGCCCCGGCUAACUCCGUGCCAGCAGCCGCGGUAAGACGGAGGGGGCAAGCGUUGCUCGGAAUCACUGGGCGUAAAGCGUGCGUAGGCGGCCAGGCAAGUCAGAAGUGAAAGCCCAGGGCUCAACCCUGGAAUUGCUUUUGAAACUGCCGGGCUCGAGUUCGGGAGAGGUGAGCGGAAUUCCCAGUGUAGAGGUGAAAUUCGUAGAUAUUGGGAAGAACACCAGUGGCGUAGGCGGCUCACUGGACCGACACUGACGCUGAGGCACGAAAGCGUGGGUAGCAAACA
RNAcentral lists this ribosomal RNA (402 nucleotides) under uncultured bacterium. RNAcentral describes it as "bacterial SSU rRNA". It matches the Rfam family "Bacterial small subunit ribosomal RNA", at positions 355 to 774 of the family's 1533-position model. The record is from RNAcentral.